CCGCCCGUAGCUCAGUUGGUAGAGCGCGAAGCUUAUACCUUCGUGGUCCUUGGUUCGAGUCCAAGCGGGCGGACCA
This 76-nucleotide transfer RNA is filed under the name Candidatus Kaiserbacteria bacterium. RNAcentral describes it as "tRNA-Ile". It matches the Rfam family "tRNA". Rfam says of the family: Transfer RNA (tRNA) molecules are approximately 80 nucleotides in length. Their secondary structure includes four short double-helical elements and three loops (D, anti-codon, and T loops). The record is from RNAcentral. Lineage: Bacteria; Candidatus Kaiseribacteriota.